GACGAACGCUGGCGGCGUGCCUAAUACAUGCAAGUAGAACGCUGAAGGAGGAGCUUGCUUCUCCGGAUGAGUUGCGAACGGGUGAGUAACGCGUAGGUAACCUGCCUGGUAGCGGGGGAUAACUAUUGGAAACGAUAGCUAAUACCGCAUAAGAGUAGAUGUCGCAUGACAUUUGCUUAAAAGGUGCAACUGCACCACUACCAGAUGGACCUGCGUUGUAUUAGCUAGUUGGUGAGGUAACGGCUCACCAAGGCAACGAUACAUAGCCGACCUGAGAGGGGGAUCGGCCACACUGGGACUGAGACACGGCCCAGACUCCUACGGGAGGCAGCAGUAGGGAAUCUUCGGCAAUGGACGGAAGUCUGACCGAGAAACGCCGCGUGAGUGAAGAAGGUUUUCGGAUCGUAAAGCUCUGUUGUAAGAGAAGAACGAGUGUGAGAGUGGAAAGUUCACACUGUGACGGUAUCUUACCAGAAAGGGACGGCUAACUACGUG
This 495-nucleotide ribosomal RNA is filed under the name uncultured bacterium. RNAcentral's name for it is "partial 16S ribosomal RNA". It matches the Rfam family "Bacterial small subunit ribosomal RNA", at positions 28 to 507 of the family's 1533-position model. The record is from RNAcentral.